UCAACAAUUACACCUAUUGGUUCGGUUUUGGGAUAUUUCAUUCCGGCAUUGAAGUGCAUGGGAAGGAGUAUGGUUUUGGAGCUCAUGACUUCCCAGUCAGUGGAGUUUUUGAAGUGGAGCCACGGAGCUGUCCUGGUUUCAUUUAUAGAUGUUCCAUUCCACUGGGCCGCAUAAAUAUGCCUUCCUCUGAAUUUCGUACGUUUAUAGAAACCAUGGCUUCUGAGUAUCAUGGGGACACCUAUCACCUCAUCUCUAAGAAUUGCAACCAUUUUUCAGAUGAUAUCUCACAUAGGUUGGUGGGCAAGUAUAUACCACGGUGGGUAAAUCGACUUGCCCGGCUAGGUUCUUUAUGCAGUUGUCUGCUUCCAGAAAGCCUUCAAGUAACUACCGUUAAACAGCUGCCUGAAUACCACGAGUGCAUGGAAGAUGGAAAUGAAUCCUUGGCAACCACUACCCCCCGUGAGUCAACAGAGAUCGAUGAUGCAGAUCAAGAGAAGCACUUGCUGUCUCCAAAUGCUGAAUGUGGGGAAGUGGCUUUUGUAAAAGAGGUCCACAAAUGAAGCUAAGCUGCCUUAUUAAGAAAGGGUAAAAAGAUAGCUUGGAACAACAUUGUGAUAAUCUCUGCUGAGUGUUGUGGCUGGAAUUUGGAAGGGAAACUUGCUUCUCAUUCUUUGAAGGCUGAAACU
RNAcentral lists this unclassified non-coding RNA (686 nucleotides) under Hevea brasiliensis (rubber tree). The record is from RNAcentral. Lineage: Eukaryota; Viridiplantae; Streptophyta; Magnoliopsida; Malpighiales; Euphorbiaceae.